CCUGGCUUGGAGACCUGACCUGGAAGGCUUGUUCUUCCCAAGAGUAUGACUCUCCUGUCUGGCCCAGAUGGUGGAAGGGGCAAAGGUAUGUGACCACCCUUGGGAAGGUGAUGUUGGUGAGCUUUAGUAUCUUAUUCCCAUUCCCAUUGUGAAAAACUAAGAUGAGGUAUUUUGGUACAGGAAUGGGCAGGGGCUGUUAAGCGUUUCAACUUGCCUCCCAUGUAACAGCUAAUGCUAGCCCCCAGCCCCUCCUCUCUGGCCCUGUUCUUCCAUCCCUCCUUCUACCCCAACCUUGGAGAACAAGAUACACCUGACCAUCAACAAACACCAUUCACAUUCCCUUGGUUGAAGGAGAGGAACAGAGAACAGAAGAUGCCUCCUCCAAGAUCAAAUGCUCAUGUCUCUUGAUCUUGGCACAGGGUGGGGGUUGGACAAUAAACAUCAGGUGACUUCUCUCUACAAAUUCUAGAGAGCUGGAGCAUUAGACUUGGGGGACACCUACAAUAUCCCCCUUUAACACCACCAAAUAAAGACCUUUGUCGGGGUGGGGGAGGGUCUUUUUCUUCUGAACAUAAAUUAUGAGUCAAAGUCUCAUUCCAUUGUCCUCCUCACCCCCAAGAGGCAUGGGGUAAAGAGGCUUGGGUGCACAGUUCAGCAACCUAGUGGGAACUAGCAACCCCUCUCCCACUUUAUGAUGUGUGUGGACCUGGCCAGUGCCCCUCUGAUCAUUAGUAGUGUAAUUAUUAUUUACUUUGUGUAUUUGUUACACCAUGUGUGUGAUUGCCUUUGUUUGUUAAGGGUGACUGAGGAGUAUGGGGGUGACAGGGGCAUUGGAAUGCCGGGAAAGGACUUCUUCACUGAGAUCAAGGCUUCCUGGAGGGAACCAUUGCAAAAAGGCCAUCAGGCAGUUUUCAAGUUAUGUGACAGAGGGCAAAGAUGGCCAUAGGGUGCUCUGAGUUUUGGGAUGGUCACAUGACACAAUCCAGCACUUGAACCUGAAAAAAAUAAAUAAAUAAAAGCAAAGAGUUUAGAA
Lontra canadensis (Northern American river otter) is the source of this 1033-nucleotide long non-coding RNA. RefSeq lists it as uncharacterized. NCBI's taxonomy places the organism in Eukaryota, Metazoa, Chordata, Mammalia, Carnivora, Mustelidae. The transcript is spliced from 3 exons. The record is from RefSeq and is a predicted model, not a curated record.